This 73-nucleotide transfer RNA is filed under the name Dolichopteryx minuscula (small spookfish). RNAcentral's name for it is "tRNA-Asn". It matches the Rfam family "tRNA". Rfam says of the family: Transfer RNA (tRNA) molecules are approximately 80 nucleotides in length. Their secondary structure includes four short double-helical elements and three loops (D, anti-codon, and T loops). Lineage: Eukaryota; Metazoa; Chordata; Actinopteri; Argentiniformes; Opisthoproctidae. The record is from RNAcentral.
UAGAUUGAUGCUCGCUGGUUGGAGCGCUUGGCUGUUAACUGAGAGUUUGAAGGAUCGAGGCCUUCCUGUCUAG